GACGAACGCUAGCGGCGUGCUUAACACAUGCAAGUCGAACGGAAAGGCCCUGCUUUUGUGGGGUGCUCGAGUGGCGAACGGGUGAGUAACACGUGAGUAACCUGCCCUUGACUUUGGGAUAACUUCAGGAAACUGGGGCUAAUACCGGAUAGGAGCUCCUGCUGCAUGGUGGGGGUUGGAAAGUUUCGGCGGUUGGGGAUGGACUCGCGGCUUAUCAGCUUGUUGGUGGGGUAGUGGCUUACCAAGGCUUUGACGGGUAGCCGGCCUGAGAGGGUGACCGGCCGGGUGGGGGGUGGGGGGGGGCCGGGCGGCCGGGGGGGGGAGGAGGGGGGGAGUGGGGCAGAGGGGGGGGGGGCGGGGGGCGGCAGGGCGGGGGGGGGGAGGGGGGCCUGGGGGUGGGAGCCGGUUUGCGCUGGGGAGGAGGCGUGAGUGAGGGUAAGGUGUAAAGAACCCCGGGCUAACUCCGGG
Molecule: ribosomal RNA, 468 nt
Filed under: uncultured bacterium
Lineage: Bacteria
Description: partial 16S ribosomal RNA
Rfam family: Bacterial small subunit ribosomal RNA (bases 20-321)
Source: RNAcentral